CCACCAGCAGCGCGUGUACAAUAGGGGCAGGGCAGGGACAGGCGAGCGAUGGCCCACAGGCACGUGCGGCAUGGGCUCCUGCGGCUGGCCAGCGGAGGCCGGAGGCUUGUGCGGCCCCCCCACGGGGCUCAUCAAGGUGGACCGGGUCCUCUACUCCUCCGUCGUGUACCCGCACAACUAUGGCUUCAUCCCCCAUCGACGUCCUCGUCCUCACGCAGGAACCAGUUCGGCCACCUCCCGUCCACGGUCACCUUCAGUUUCGGCCUGUUGCCAAAUCAUAUUAAUAUAUGAUCAUUUAGAUAAUUGUCUAUACAUUUCUAUUCAGCUAUAUUAAUUGUAGACCUCACCAGUGAUUGCAACGGUACCUAAAAGCAAAUAGAAUCACAUAAGAGUAUAUUAUAGAUCUUCUUUUAUUUUUUUGAUUUUGGCCUAGAAUAUCUUUCUUUAUACUUAGUCAAGUUAUCUUAAAAUACCAUUUCAUAUUAGCAGUUGUACGUUGCAUAUUUAUUUUCAGGUUUAUUGAAAUGCCUGCAAAGUUGAAGAGAUUCCAGAAAUUGUAAGAUUUUCGAUAUGUUUGACCUUCAGUCUUGAUGCUUCAUUAUUUUAGUUGGGACUGAAAGUUAAUACAUCUUUGAGAGGCUACCGAUCAGGAUAUGCAUCCUAACUGAAGCAAUUCUUGGAAGAGAUAGUUUCAAAUUGCAGGCUGUGGCCGUUUAAAGCAGAUUAGUUUGCAUUGAAAUGACUGCAUGGUUCAAAUUUGAACCUUAACUAAUAUUAUCAUGGCAGCAUCUUGUGAACUGCUUCAACGUCCAUCGACUCAUGAACUGGCGCAAAAGCAGUCAGCUGUUUUAUUUUGCUGAAAUGUCAUGUUAUCCCGGUGAGCAAAUUUGAAACUUAUUACCAUGUAGUUCUUGAGAUGUAUCAAAUCUUUGACAUUGGCAGGUACUAUGAGCUACUUUUCUUCAAACUUAUUAAUUGUUUGAGUUCUAUGGCCAGAUUUGGUUGAUGUCGGUAUUUUGUACUUGAAGAAUAAAAUGAAGUACCAUAUAUUAUAAGACACAUCUAUUCUUUUUCAUAUAUAUGCAUGGUUAUUAUUUAGUUUUGAAAAUGCCAUGUAGUCUUGUCUGACCUCAAUAUGUUCCUGAACUAAACUAAGCAGUCCGUACAUACUUGGAGUAGUGUAUGGAACAUCAACUUAAAGUUUGUGUUUGAAUUAAAAAUGCAGAGUAUACUUGGAGGCCUAAUGCAAUGUUCUUAACACAUCUCGGAAUUCCUGAAUUAGUGUAUUGAAAAGUUUGACCUCAAACAAAGAUUGUAGGUCUGAUAUUCAAUAUUGUAGCAGUGCUUUGCCUUAUAUGACUAUUGCAUAAUGUAAUAUUAAACAUGGCCAGCCAGCUUGAUCAAUCAGAGCUCAAAUAAGGGAAAAGGGGCGUAGGUGAUAAGCUCCUUCAGUUUAUGAAA
Panicum virgatum (switchgrass) is the source of this 1461-nucleotide long non-coding RNA. RefSeq lists it as uncharacterized. The transcript has 4 exons. NCBI's taxonomy places the organism in Eukaryota, Viridiplantae, Streptophyta, Magnoliopsida, Poales, Poaceae. The record is from RefSeq and is a predicted model, not a curated record.